This 88-nucleotide non-coding RNA is filed under the name Helianthus annuus (common sunflower). The record is from RNAcentral. Lineage: Eukaryota; Viridiplantae; Streptophyta; Magnoliopsida; Asterales; Asteraceae.
CGUCGGUCUGGACUUGGACAACUCCAUUGAUGAGUCUGUGACAAAACAAAAUCAUUGACCAAUAUCAUUAAACAGGACGAAACAUGCG